This 656-nucleotide long non-coding RNA is filed under the name Musa acuminata (dwarf banana). Its description in RNAcentral is "long non-coding RNA (MACU_LNC011079)". The record is from RNAcentral. Lineage: Eukaryota; Viridiplantae; Streptophyta; Magnoliopsida; Zingiberales; Musaceae.
ACAUUUUAGUGAGCGAUAAGCUAUCCUGAAAAAUUUAUAUAGCAACGGGGUGAGCAUAUAAAGCUCAGCAAGUGACUAACAUAUCCAUAGCAAAGAGACAGGUUUCAAACAAAUAAGGUAUCAAAAUACAAAGCAGAGAUACAAGAUGAAACAGUAGCAUGUUUUGUUUGAAUGCAGAAUUACAAUGUCAUAUCGUUCGAAGCACGUUUUGUUCAUACAAUCGAGAAAAGGUAAUUGGAGCAUAUCAUUGGCAUAAGGAGCAUAUCGAUGACAUAUGAUAAUUUCAAGGCAUAACAAAGACGUAAGGAGCAUUUUGGAUAUCAUGAAUGCAGAAUUACGAUGUCAUUUCGUUUGAAUCACGUUUUGUUCAUACAAUCGAGGAAAGAUAAUUGGAGCAUACCAUUGACAUAAAGAGCAUACCGAUGACAUUUGGUAAUUUCAAGGCAUAACAAAGACGUAAGGAGCAUUUUGGAUAUCAAUGGCAUAUGAAAUAGUUCGGAACAUAUCAAUGGUGAAUGAAAUGCUUCAGAACAUAUCAAUGGCAUAUGAAAAUAUUUUGGAAGCAUAAGAAGCAUUUCAGAACAUAUCAAAGAACAAAUACGAAAUAGAAUCUCAGACGUCGUACUCUAGCAUAGUGCAUGUGAGGUUUAACUCAG